UACGGAGGGAGCUAGCGUUGUUCGGAAUUACUGGGCGUAAAGCGCACGUAGGCGGCUUUGUAAGUUAGAGGUGAAAGCCCGGAGCUCAACUCCGGAAUUGCCUUUAAGACUGCAUCGCUUGAAUCCAGGAGAGGUGAGUGGAAUUCCGAGUGUAGAGGUGAAAUUCGUAGAUAUUCGGAAGAACACCAGUGGCGAAGGCGGCUCACUGGCCCGGUACUGACGCUGAGGUGCGAAAGCGUGGGGAGCAAACAGG
RNAcentral lists this ribosomal RNA (253 nucleotides) under uncultured bacterium. Its description in RNAcentral is "partial 16S ribosomal RNA". It matches the Rfam family "Bacterial small subunit ribosomal RNA", at positions 524 to 776 of the family's 1533-position model. The record is from RNAcentral.